GGGGAAAUAAGCGGAGGAUUCUGGGCCGCCACCCCCCGUGUUUAUUGUAGCUUGUUGCUUCGGUGCGCGCGCCUCCCAUUCAUGGCCGGGGGGGGGCCUCAGCCCCGGGCCCCCGCCCGCCGGAAACACAACGAACUCUGUCUAAUCUAGUGAAGUCUGAGUUGAUUGUAUCCCAAUCAGUUAAAACUUUCAACCA
This 196-nucleotide unclassified non-coding RNA is filed under the name Aspergillus flavus. Its description in RNAcentral is "sequence contains ITS1, 5.8S rRNA gene and ITS2". Lineage: Eukaryota; Fungi; Ascomycota; Eurotiomycetes; Eurotiales; Aspergillaceae. The record is from RNAcentral.